RNAcentral lists this ribosomal RNA (257 nucleotides) under uncultured bacterium. Its description in RNAcentral is "partial 16S ribosomal RNA". It matches the Rfam family "Bacterial small subunit ribosomal RNA", at positions 524 to 776 of the family's 1533-position model. The record is from RNAcentral.
UACGUAGGGUGCAAGCGUUGUCCGGAAUUAUUGGGCGUAAAGAGCUCGUAGGCGGUUUGUUGCGUCGGCUGUGAAAUCCCGAGGCUCAACCUCGGGUCUGCAGUCGAUACGAGCAAACUAGAGUGUUGCAGGGGAGACUGGAAUUCCUGGUGUAGCGGUGAAAUGCGCAGAUAUCAGGAGGAACACCGGUGGCGAAGGCGGGGUCUCUGGGCAACAACUGACGCUGGAGGAGCGAAAGCCGUGGGGGAGCGAACAGG